UUCCACGGAACGGCCUUAUUGCUUUGAUAUGCAAAAGGCGUCGGCUUGGACACUGUCCGGGGGUAUACGGGUGUGGAGCCGGUCCCCUUCCUAGUAAAACAUAUUACUAGGGCCUUGGGGGUUAGAGGAACCUUCUUUUCUUCCGACUGCAUGCAAAUUUGUGGUUCUUCCCUCUCUCCUUUGGACACUUCAAGCUGCCCCCAAUCCAUGAGCU
Molecule: long non-coding RNA, 214 nt
Filed under: Glycine max (soybean)
Lineage: Eukaryota; Viridiplantae; Streptophyta; Magnoliopsida; Fabales; Fabaceae
Description: long non-coding RNA (GMAX_LNC000559)
Source: RNAcentral